AUACAGCCCCGAUCGCAGCGGCAUCCUCUGGUGCUUCCUUGGUAAAGGAGCGCCAGAGAUAUAGCGGAGAGCGGGAGGAAGC
Molecule: small RNA, 82 nt
Organism: Flavobacterium fontis
Lineage: Bacteria; Pseudomonadati; Bacteroidota; Flavobacteriia; Flavobacteriales; Flavobacteriaceae
Rfam family: Flavo-1 RNA
Source: Rfam